RNAcentral lists this ribosomal RNA (460 nucleotides) under uncultured bacterium. RNAcentral's name for it is "partial 16S ribosomal RNA". It matches the Rfam family "Bacterial small subunit ribosomal RNA", at positions 338 to 795 of the family's 1533-position model. The record is from RNAcentral.
CCUACGGGAGGCAGCAGUGAGGAAUAUUGGUCAAUGGACGCAAGUCUGAACCAGCCAUGCCGCGUGCAGGAAGACGGCUCUAUGAGUUGUAAACUGCUUUUGUACGAGGGUAAACGCAGGUACGCGUAUCUUUCUGAAAGUAUCGUACGAAUAAGGAUCGGCUAACUCCGUGCCAGCAGCCGCGGUAAUACGGAGGAUUCAAGCGUUAUCCGGAUUUAUUGGGUUUAAAGGGGGCGUAGGUGGUAGGUUAAGUUAGAUGUGAAAUCCCGCGGCUCAACUUCGGAAUUGCCUUUGAUACUGUUCGGCUAGAGAGGAGUUGAGGUAGGCGGAAGGUAUGGUGUAGCGGUGAAAUGCUUAGAGAUCAUAAAGAACACCGAUUGCGAAGGCAGCCUACCAAGCUACUUCUGACGUUGAGGCACGAAAGCGUGGGGAGCAAACAGGAUUAGAUACCCCAGUAGUC